This 729-nucleotide ribosomal RNA is filed under the name uncultured bacterium. RNAcentral's name for it is "bacterial SSU rRNA". It matches the Rfam family "Bacterial small subunit ribosomal RNA", at positions 43 to 770 of the family's 1533-position model. The record is from RNAcentral.
CAGGCCUAACACAUGCAAGUCGAGCGAGAAGCUCAUGACGGAAUCUUCGGAGGACGGAUUGAGUGGAAAGCGGCGGACGGGUGAGUAACGCGUGGGUAACCUGCCCUGUACAGAGGAAUAGCCAUUGGAAACGAUGAUUAAUGCCUCAUAAGACUACAGUAUCGCAUGAUACAGUAGCCAAAACUCCGGUGGUACAGGAUGGACCCGCGUUAGAUUAGCUAGUUGGUAAGGUAAAGGCUUACCAAGGCGACGAUCUAUAGCCGACCUGAGAGGGUGAUCGGCCACACUGGAACUGAGACACGGUCCAGACUCCUACGGGAGGCAGCAGUGGGGAAUAUUGCACAAUGGGCGAAAGCCUGAUGCAGCAACGCCGCGUGAGCGAAGAAGGUCUUCGGAUCGUAAAGCUCUGUCCUAUGGGAAGAACACAAUGACGGUACCAUAGGAGGAAGCCCCGGCUAACUACGUGCCAGCAGCCGCGGUAAUACGUAGGGGGCAAGCGUUAUCCGGAAUCACUGGGCGUAAAGGGUGCGUAGGCGGUUUCUCAAGCCAGAAGUGAAAGGCAAUGGCUCAACCAUUGUAAGCUUUUGGAACUGAGAGACUUGAGUGCAGGAGAGGAAAGUGGAAUUCCUAGUGUAGAGGUGAAAUUCGUAGAUAUUAGGAGGAACACCAGUGGCGAAGGCGACUUUCUGGACUGUAACUGACGCUGAGGCACGAAAGUGUGGGGGAGCG